CGUAGGCGGACUUUCAAGUCGGAUGUGAAAUCUCCAGGCUUAACUUGGAGCUUGCAUCCGAUACUGUUGGUCUUGAGUAUAUCAGAGGAAAGCGGAAUUCCAGGUGUAGCGGUGAAAUGCGUAGAUAUCUGGAAGAACACCAGUAGCGAAGGCGGCUUUCUGGGGUAUAACUGACGCUGAAGCGCGAAGGCUAGGGGAGCAAACA
Molecule: ribosomal RNA, 205 nt
Filed under: uncultured bacterium
Lineage: Bacteria
Description: partial 16S ribosomal RNA
Rfam family: Bacterial small subunit ribosomal RNA
Source: RNAcentral